RNAcentral lists this small nuclear RNA (103 nucleotides) under Carassius auratus (goldfish). The record is from RNAcentral. Lineage: Eukaryota; Metazoa; Chordata; Actinopteri; Cypriniformes; Cyprinidae.
CUGCCACGGUGGCACAUAUGCUAAAAUUGGAUCGAUACAGAGAAGAUUAGCAUAGCCCCUGUGAAAGGAUGACAUGCAAAUCUGUGAAACGCUCCAUCAUUUU